AUGAGGGAUAUUGCACAAUGGGCGCAAGCCUGAUGCAGCGACGCCGCGUGGGCGAUGAAGUUCUUCGGAAUGUAAAGCCCUUUUCUCGGAGACGAUCAGGACGGUACCCGAGGAAUAAGCCCCGGCUAACUACGUGCCAGCAGCCGCGGUAAUACGUAGGGGGCGAGCGUUGUCCGGAUUUACUGGGCGUAAAGCGCGUGUAGGCGGUUCUUUAAGUCCGGGGUGAAAUCCGGGGGCUUAACCCCCGAACGGCGCCGGAAACUGGAGAGCUUGAGUGUCGGAGAGGGGAGUGGAAUUCUCGGUGUAGCGGUGAAAUGCGUAGAGAUCGAGAGGAACACCCGUGGCGAAGGCGGCUCCCUGGCCGAACACUGACGCUGAGACGCGAAAGCGUGGGGAGCGAACGG
This 404-nucleotide ribosomal RNA is filed under the name uncultured bacterium. RNAcentral describes it as "bacterial SSU rRNA". It matches the Rfam family "Bacterial small subunit ribosomal RNA", at positions 354 to 775 of the family's 1533-position model. The record is from RNAcentral.